GGAAACCAUCUGGCAAGAACCGCUCAAGAGAAUGCUUCUUGGCUCUCACAUCUUAAAGGUCUUAAAAUAGCUAACAUUUAUUGAACAUUUUACUAUAUGCCAGUCAGUAAAUUGCAGAUGUAAGAUUCAAAACCAGACUUCACAUCUACCGACUUCAGUGACCCUGAAAUUUGUUCACAGAGAGCAUUUAACAUAACUGUCUUCAUCAUCUCCUUCUCUACAUUAAAAAUUAUGGAGGCCUUACAAACUGGUAGAAGAUGCAUAACAGAAGAGCUUAUGAAGUUAAAGAUGACAGCAUAGCAGCACUGUUCACAAAGACGUUAUUGGUGAUUCAAUCUUGAGUCAUGAAAAGUCAACCUUGAGCCACAAAAAGUCAACCUUGAGCCAAGCAGAUUGGAGAGUCAUACAUGCCAUUCCUGGGACCAUCAAAAAUGGCAGAGGUCACACAAAAAGGCAAAACUUUUAAGAGGUGUUUUAAACGUCGUAUGGGCCAAAGAGAAGCUGGAUUUCCUAUUGGAGUCACCUGUAACACACGUGUGACGAAAUUGGCCUGUGAGGACAAGGCAGUGAGCAGAGAGGACAGCAGUCCUUAUGAGAUCAAGCUCUAAGGUAUCCUAGACACAUUUGGAGAAUUCACCUGAGCUACAGGAUGUGGUAAGAUUUGGUGAGCAGGUGGUGAUUCUUACAGAAUCCCUCACACAUUCAUGCACAGAACUUCCCCAGCACACUCCCAGGUAGGACCACUUCCCUCUUCAUUGUGCAAAGAUUCACCACUGGUUCCAG
RNAcentral lists this long non-coding RNA (783 nucleotides) under Homo sapiens (human). RNAcentral's name for it is "long intergenic non-protein coding RNA 3156". Lineage: Eukaryota; Metazoa; Chordata; Mammalia; Primates; Hominidae. The record is from RNAcentral.